UGGUGAUUUUAGCGAGGAGCCUACACACGAUCCCAUUCCGAACUCGACCGUUAAACUUCUCAGCGCUGAUGGUACUGCAUCUUAAGGUGUGGGAGAGUAAGUCGUCGCCAGGCCUAU
RNAcentral lists this ribosomal RNA (117 nucleotides) under Proteobacteria bacterium JGI 0000113-P07. The record is from RNAcentral. Lineage: Bacteria; Pseudomonadati; Pseudomonadota.